UACGGAGGGUGCGAGCGUUGUCCGGAAUCAUUGGGCGUAAAGGGCGCGUAGGUGGCCCGGUCAGUUCGUGGUGAAAGCGCGGGGCUCAACCCUGCGUCGGCCAUGAAUACUGCCGCGGCUGGAGCACUGUAGAGGCAGGCGGAAUUCCGGGUGUAGCGGUGGAAUGCGUAGAGAUCCGGAAGAACACCGGUGGCGAAGGCAGGUCUCUGGGCUGUAACUGACGCUGAGGAGCGAAAGCAUGGGGAGCGAACAGG
Molecule: ribosomal RNA, 254 nt
Filed under: uncultured bacterium
Lineage: Bacteria
Description: partial 16S ribosomal RNA
Rfam family: Bacterial small subunit ribosomal RNA
Source: RNAcentral